CAGUCGCCGCGGUAAAACGUAGGUGGCAAGCGUUGUCCGGAAUUAUUGGGCGUAAAGCGCGCGCAGGCGGAUAGGUCAGUCUGUCUUAAAAGUUCGAGGCUUAACCCCGUGAUGGGAUGGAAACUGCCAAUCUAGAGUAUCGGAGAGGAAAGUGGAAUUCCUAGUGUAGCGGUGAAAUGCGUAGAUAUUAGGAAGAACACCAGUGGCGAAGGCGACUUUCUGGACGAAAACUGACGCUGAGGCGCGAAAGCCAGGGGAGCGAACGGGAUUAGAUACCCCGGUAGUCCCUGUCUCUUAUACC
Molecule: ribosomal RNA, 301 nt
Filed under: uncultured bacterium
Lineage: Bacteria
Description: partial 16S ribosomal RNA
Rfam family: Bacterial small subunit ribosomal RNA
Source: RNAcentral